GUGCCAGCCGCCGCGGUAAUACGUAGGGUGCGAGCGUUGUCCGGAAUUACUGGGCGUAAAGAGCUCGUAGGUGGUUUGUCACGUUGUUCGUGAAAACUCACAGCUUAACUGUGGGCGUGCGGGCGAUACGGGCAGACUAGAGUACUGCAGGGGAGACUGGAAUUCCUGGUGUAGCGGUGGAAUGCGCAGAUAUCAGGAGGAACACCGGUGGCGAAGGCGGGUCUCUGGGCAGUAACUGACGCUGAGGAGCGAAAGCGUGGGGAGCGAACAGGAUUAGAUACCCUGGUAGUCCACGCCGUAAACGGUGGGUACUAGGUGUGGGUUCCUUUCUUGGGAUCCGUGCCGUAGUUAACGCAUUAAGUACCCCGCCUGGGGAGUACGGCCGCAAGGCUAAAAUCUCAAAGGAAUUGACGGGGGCCGCGCACAAGCGGCGGAGCAUGCGGAUUAAUUCGAUGCAACGCGAAGAACCUUACUUGGGUUUGACAUGCACAGGACGCCGG
This 500-nucleotide ribosomal RNA is filed under the name uncultured organism. RNAcentral's name for it is "SSU rRNA". It matches the Rfam family "Bacterial small subunit ribosomal RNA", at positions 505 to 1001 of the family's 1533-position model. The record is from RNAcentral.